AACGAACGCUGGCGGCAUGCCUAACACAUGCAAGUCGAACGAAGCCUUCGGGCUUAGUGGCGCACGGGUGCGUAACGCGUGGGAAUCUGCCCUUUGGUUCGGAAUAACAGUUGGAAACGACUGCUAAUACCGGAUGAUGACGAAAGUCCAAAGAUUUAUCGCCAGAGGAUGAGCCCGCGUAGGAUUAGCUAGUUGGUGUGGUAAAGGCGCACCAAGGCGACGAUCCUUAGCUGGACUGAGAGGAUGAACAGCCACACUGGGACUGAGGCACGGCCCAGACUCCUACGGGAGGCAGCAGUGGGGAAUAUUGGACAAUGGGCGAAAGCCUGAUCCAGCAAUGCCGCGUGAGUGAUGAAGGCCCUAGGGUUGUAAAGCUCUUUUACCCGGGAUGAUAAUGACAGUACCGGGAGAAUAAGCCCCGGCUAACUCCGUGCCAGCAGCCGCCGUAA
This 449-nucleotide ribosomal RNA is filed under the name uncultured bacterium. RNAcentral's name for it is "partial 16S ribosomal RNA". It matches the Rfam family "Bacterial small subunit ribosomal RNA", at positions 29 to 523 of the family's 1533-position model. The record is from RNAcentral.